This 253-nucleotide ribosomal RNA is filed under the name uncultured bacterium. RNAcentral's name for it is "partial 16S ribosomal RNA". It matches the Rfam family "Bacterial small subunit ribosomal RNA", at positions 524 to 776 of the family's 1533-position model. The record is from RNAcentral.
UACGAAGGGUGCAAACGUUGCUCGGAAUUAUUGGGCGUAAAGCGCACGUAGGCGGACUUUUAAGUCAGGGGUGAAAUCCUGGAGCUCAACUCCAGAACUGCCUUUGAUACUGGAAGUCUUGAGUCCGGAAGAGGUAAGUGGAACUGCGAGUGUAGAGGUGAAAUUCGUAGAUAUUCGCAAGAACACCAGUGGCGAAGGCGGCUUACUGGUCCGGUACUGACGCUGAGGUGCGAAAGCGUGGGGAGCAAACAGG